This 253-nucleotide ribosomal RNA is filed under the name uncultured bacterium. RNAcentral describes it as "partial 16S ribosomal RNA". It matches the Rfam family "Bacterial small subunit ribosomal RNA", at positions 524 to 776 of the family's 1533-position model. The record is from RNAcentral.
UACGAAGGGGGCUAGCGUUGCUCGGAAUCACUGGGCGUAAAGCGCACGUAGGCGGAUUGCUAAGUCAGGUGUGAAAUCCUGGAGCUCAACUCCAGAACUGCCUUUGAUACUGGCGAUCUUGAGUCCGGGAGAGGUGAGUGGAACUGCGAGUGUAGAGGUGAAAUUCGUAGAUAUUCGCAAGAACACCAGUGGCGAAGGCGGCUCACUGGUCCGGUACUGACGAUGAGGUGCGAAAGCGUGGGGAGCAAACAGG